AUACUUAACUAGCAGAAGAAAUAUCGUGAUCAUGAAGGUGGUUUUCUCAGAGCGAGAUUUAUUCACUGAAUAGCGAACGCGCUGAUCCCUGCGACUUCCACAAAUGUGAGAAGCUCCACUGCAUCAUUUGUGGUAGUGAGGGACUGCGUUCGCAUUUUCUCC
Molecule: small nuclear RNA, 162 nt
Organism: Nomascus leucogenys (northern white-cheeked gibbon)
Lineage: Eukaryota; Metazoa; Chordata; Mammalia; Primates; Hylobatidae
Gene: U1
Rfam family: U1 spliceosomal RNA
About the family: U1 is a small nuclear RNA (snRNA) component of the spliceosome (involved in pre-mRNA splicing). Its 5' end forms complementary base pairs with the 5' splice junction, thus defining the 5' donor site of an intron.
Source: Ensembl